RNAcentral lists this ribosomal RNA (301 nucleotides) under uncultured bacterium. Its description in RNAcentral is "partial 16S ribosomal RNA". It matches the Rfam family "Bacterial small subunit ribosomal RNA", at positions 509 to 807 of the family's 1533-position model. The record is from RNAcentral.
CAGUCGCCGCGGUAAUACGUAGGGUGCAAGCGUUAAUCGGAAUUACUGGGCGUAAAGCGUGCGCAGGCGGUUUGUUAAGACAGAUGUGAAAUCCCCGGGCUCAACCUGGGAACUGCAUUUGUGACUGGCAAGCUAGAGUGUGGCAGAGGGAGGUGGAAUUCCACGUGUAGCAGUGAAAUGCGUAGAUAUGUGGAGGAACACCGAUGGCGAAGGCAGCCUCCUGGGAUAAUACUGACGCUCAUGCACGAAAGCGUGGGGAGCAAACAGGAUUAGAUACCCCGGUAGUCCCUGUCUCUUAUAC